This 445-nucleotide ribosomal RNA is filed under the name uncultured bacterium. Its description in RNAcentral is "partial 16S ribosomal RNA". It matches the Rfam family "Bacterial small subunit ribosomal RNA", at positions 354 to 796 of the family's 1533-position model. The record is from RNAcentral.
GUGAGGAAUAUUGGUCAAUGGACGAGAGUCUGAACCAGCCAAGUCGCGUGAAGGAAGACGGUUCUAUGAAUUGUAAACUUCUUUUGUGCAGGAAUAAAGUGGGUUACGUGUAACCUUUUGUAUGUACUGUACGAAUAAGGAUCGGCUAACUCCGUGCCAGCAGCCGCGGUAAUACGGAGGAUCCGAGCGUUAUCCGGAUUUAUUGGUUUUAAAGGGUGCGUAGGUGGAUUGAUAAGUCAGCGGUGAAAGUUUGCAGCUUAACUGUAAAAUUGCCGUUGAAACUGUCGGUCUUGAGUGCAAAUGAGGUAGGCGGAAUGUGUUGUGUAGCGGUGAAAUGCUUAGAUAUAACACAGAACUCCGAUUGCGAAGGCAGCUUACUGGGAUGCAACUGACACUGAUGCACGAAAGCGUGGGUAUCAAACAGGAUUAGAAACCCCGGUAGUCC